Molecule: non-coding RNA, 10927 nt
Organism: Cyanistes caeruleus (blue tit)
Lineage: Eukaryota; Metazoa; Chordata; Aves; Passeriformes; Paridae
Source: RefSeq, a predicted model, not a curated record
UGGAACAAGUUGCCCAGAGAUGCCCUAUCCCUGAAAACAUUCAAGUUCAGACUGGAUGGGGCUCUGAGCAACCUGACCUAAUUGAAGAUGCUCCUGCUCAUUACAGGAGGGGUUGGAUUAGAUGAUCUUUAGUAGCCCCUUCCAACCCAAGGUACUGUAUGAUUCUGUGACUCUGUGAUGGGGGUAAAUGGUUAUUACGAUGGCUGCAGAGAUACUCUGCUGUAGGUUAUGUCAGAGUAACCCUUAUGAGGUCAGGGCAGGCACGAGGAGUGCGCUUGGCUGCUUGUUGCCAAGGCAGUCAGCAACCACGUUCAUGCGAUUGAAUUUUAAAAAAAAACCCUUUUCCCCCCCCUAAGCAUUAAUGUUAAUGCAAAUUAACUUUCAACUGCAUGACAGUUUUAUUCUGGGUUGGCUUUGCUGAUUGUUUCUGUGGGUUGGCUUUGCCUAACUUAUUCCUAACUGUUGGUACAAACGAUCUUUUCAUCUGCGACACAUAAGAGAUUUUAAUUCAAUGUACUCUUCUGAAAGCCAAGGAAAUAAGGGCAGGCUUCUAAUAGCUUUAUUUUUUUCUACCAGAUCUUUUAAUCUCUUUAUUUAGGCACUUGAUUCAAAUAGGAAGAGGCUUUUCUAUUAAAAAAGGCAGCUUAUAUAAAACAUAAGGGUUAUAAUUGCAGCUAUACUGUCAGAUGUAGAGCUAGAUUUAAAAUUUCCUGAUUUACUAGUAUAAAUUGGACUAAAGGAUGCUUCUGACUAAAAAUAGAGCCAUUUUUCUUAAAUAAUCAAUUUUUUUUCAUAUAAUGUAAAAUGUCUAUAAAGCAUGCCUUAAAUGUAUUAGUGGCAAAUAUUAACAGACACUUAAGUUUUCCUGUAUGUCACUGUAAUCCACUUCAAGCAGAUGAUGGUACUAUUUAUUUCUGCAUGUUUUGUCUUUUUUUCUUAAUUUGCAAUUCUGUAAGUUGCAGAACUUGGGGUUUUUUUUUGAAACUGAAGACAUUGGGAGAUAUAAACUGCUUCUGACACAAAUUUGAAUGGUGACCUUGUAACCACAGGGUCAUAGGCACAAGAGUGUGGAAGGGACUCCUUUCUUGUCUCAGAGCUACUUUCCUUUGGCCUUGUUUCAUUCUUCACAUGUUAAUCUAACUUUAUUUCAAAACUUCCCCUCCCAUUUUCACAUCUUCAUUUUUCAAAACAGUAGCUGCCCUGAGGUUUCUAUCACGAAGAGUGUGGAGGAUGGUUAUUAUGAACUCUGUGCCUCAUGUUCCACGUCUGUCAUAUGAAUGUGUCAGGCUUAAUCUUUAUUAAUUCCUGAGGGAAAACUGAAGACUAGAGCUAAUAAGGUAUUUGUAUGGUAAUUGUUUCUUUUGGGACGUGGUUUCUGAGAAUUCAUAACAAACUGAAAAGAGUUGCACAAGUAUGAAAUUUAUUUAGAAAUAAGCUGUUUAAACAGCACAACAAAAUUAGAAAAUUCAUGGGGGAAAAAAAAUAUAUUGGAGAUUAUUAAAUGCUCAGGCACCCUCUCAAACAUAAGAACUCCCUCAGCACAAGUCACUGGAGGCCACAAGGGUAUUCUGAGGAGUUAUCGUGGUGUGCUUCUCCUGUCCUUACACUUUUCCCUACAUAUUCAACACUAGAUAAAUUAAAUUUUUGCAUGACUCACUGGGGCUCUUGCAUUUUUGCCAAGAUUAGGCUAAAAGCCAGAGAAGGGAAAGUGAUAUAACACAGUGACAUCACUGAACUGAAGGGUAAGAGAGGAAAGAGAUGGUGUGCCAGGAGCCACUUUGGUGAUGUGUUCUGCAUGCAGUGUGCUGUUCAAGUGGAUGUGUAAUUAGCAGUGUACAGGGAGAGGGGAGUCACAUUCAAGGACCCGAGCAUAUCAAAGUAGACACUCAAACCAGACAACUGGAGAGGAUGUUCAGAAGCCAUGCAAUGUACCAACUUCAAAAAAUUAUGAUGUACCAGGCAGAUCUCAUUAUAUCUUGUUGGGUUGUUUUCUUUUUUCUCUUUAGCAGGUGGGAGAGGGCAAGGAGUUUGUGGGUUUUAUUUUAGUUCUGUAAUCAAGUUUAAAGUAGAUUUCACUGGCUUAUCCCCAGCACACUUUGCCUGGUGACAUGACUGUCUGCUAGUACUCAGCCAGAUGCAAGGUGUUUUGUUCCACUGGAAGUUACAGUGUAUUCCUGAGACAGCCGCCAUCCAAAAUACAUUCAGAGAAGUCAGGGUAUGUUGUUUCAUCAUGCUACAAAGGCUGGUUUCAGUCUGCUAGGGCAGGAUCUCCUGCACAAAAUAACACACCUUUGGCAAAGGGUAAAGGAAAAAAGUGUGUGUGGUUUCAGAAGGAUCUCACAAGAAACAAGCAGUCUGCAAGGACGAGAUUUGAGAGUUCAAAGUCAAACACAACAUAUUAUUUCCAAACAGUUGUUCCAGAUUUGCAGGCACCUUAGGUGUCCUGCUGUGGUGUCCAGAUUCCCUGGCAAGAAUUCAAGGUUUUUCUUGUUUGUGACAGGAAUGACUUCAUGUCUUGCACACUGAGAGUGUUAAUUUAGCAUAUAAAUAUUUCCCUACCUGGUGUGGUUUCUGCUGCUUUCUGAGAAGCAGCAGAGAUUAAAAAUACCGCAUACCUUGUUGCUUGGUGUUUUUGUAUCCAAUAUUUUUGCUCUUUUCCUGAUGCCUCACUGUGACCUGGCUGAAGGCUGAGUCAGUCUGUUGGUGACUGGCUACCGAGGGCUACAACCUUCUGUCAUAUUUUCAUUUUGGAGGAUCCUGGUUUCCUGCCUAAAGCAUCGGGUGCUGGGCUAAAGUCAUUAACUCUAGAGAGUACCUGAUGCAGGACAGCCAUCAGAAUUUGGAGGGAGGGGGAGAGCGUGUGUAGUGCAGAAGCUGAGAUCUGAGGUUUUGGGAAAUAGGAGGAGAACUGGAGCACUCUGGCUUGCUGGGGGAACUGUUCCCAGGUGGACACGGGGGGGUCUGUGUGCACUCUCUGCACUCAGCUGUUGCCAUCCCCCUCCAUGUGCCAAGUGGUGAGGCUGGAGAAGCCUUGUGGAGUCUCCCUAGGGUAGGGCUCGGUGCUGUUGCCCUCACCAGUGAGACAACUAUCUCCUCCCUAAAUUGAGUUUUAGACCUCCUGUGCACAGGCAUCUGUUCAGGGGCCACUGAAUUAUGCAGAAGGGUUUUUUCCUUUAUACUGUGGUUUUAUUUUCCCAUACAUAUUCCCACACUGACGGUUCUGUUUUCCCAGUAUGUCUGACUUGUGCCUUCUCAGCACCUCUGCAGGAACAAGAGCGGCAGCUAAACACGUGAUUAAUUGCCUCACUUAAAAUCUGUUUAAAAUUCUUAGGUAAUUGAUGUCUGAUAGAUUGUUUUUUCUCGUCUGCUCAAGCUAAAUUAGGCUAACACCAGCCAGAGGUGGCUGGUGAGUUAUUCUUCCAGUCCUGGGAAAGUUUGUGUUGGCAGAAUAUUCAACAACAACCAUCACCAAAUCCCGUGCUUCAGAAAGGGGCCAUUUCUCAGGUAAGGAAGAAAAAGGAGGGCUUAUUGUGAUGAAUGGUCCUUCAGAGCACUUACUUGGGCUUCUGACAGUAUAAUUCUGAAUAAUGGUGUUCCCUCUGAUUCUCAUCUCAUUCUUGUGCUUGGGAGCAUUCCCUUAGUUUAUGGUUUCCUUUUUACAUUUGUUUGUCUUUAAAAUCAUCACUCAAGAUGAUCAUUGCAAUACAGCAGUUGGCUUAAAUCCCCCAUCUUUUUCAAAUGCUUGUCAUGAGUACUAAAAAACUAAUGCUGCUCAUUAGUGCUGUUCAUCAAGUUCUGGAUUUUUUUUCCCAACUUAACUACAGGCAAGUCUCAGAUUUGGAACAUAUUAGAGAUCUCUUUAAAAUCUUAUCUAUAACUGACAUAAUUAUCUGCUCAGACAAGUUGUGGUAAAAGACCAAUCCCUAAGAAUCUCAGCCAUUACACUCUUAUUUUUAAGUUAAAUCAUGGAAUGGUCCCUAAACCCACACCCUUUCAUUUUUUUAGGUCUUUCUCAAAAAAAAAAUGUAGAGCUGCUGUGUAUUCAAAGGAGUAGAAUUUAAGCACCUGUUUUUAUUUAAGCCACAGUAACCAUCAGCUCCUUAGUAACUAGGGGUGUGUCUGCUAAGAACAAUCUGUCACCUGUCACUCGGUUUUUAAGUGACUGAUUUCACAUCCAGAGCUAAGACAGAUAAUUGACAAAUCAUGCAGACUUCAGCUGAAGAAAGUGCUAAUUUUUUUUUCUUGAAUAUUACCCACAGAAGUGCUGCUUUUUCAGUUAAUUUCACAUUCUUAGACAAUUUCAAUAUGUAGCUACAAAGAAUGGCAUGUGCAUUGACUGUAGCUUAUUUGUAAAUCUCUAUCAGAUACAAGUAGUCCAGAGUCUGCAGAUUUAUAUAAGCGUUGGUUAAAUGUGAUUUUUUCAUAAUUAAACCAGCUAGGUUUCUGAAAAGUUUCCAGAAUAUCUUUUAACACAUAUUCAGUGAUAUUUUAGCAAAACACUAACCUCCCAAAGUCUUAAAGCUUACUGAUAAUUUCAAAUUUAUUAAGUUUGUUAGUAUAAUUUUUGAGGAAAAAACAAAGAGAAACUUGAAAAUGGCUCUGUAGGCAACAGCCACAGAUGGGAAAAUUUGAUAAAGGUUAGAGAGGUCAGAGGUGAAGCUGGUGGCUUCUGCCCUGAAGGGUUUGAAGGAAUCUUCUCAGCAAGGAAACUUCCUUCUGCUCCUGCAUGAUUAAUAUCUGUCUCUGCCCCAGUUUACUGACCAAUGGAAGGAACUUCCAUCUGCGGGAAAAUUCUGCUAGCUCCUGUAAGUGAAGUUCUCACAUACAUAUUGCCCUCAGACAGAGCAACCAAAUGCAUGAGCCAGUUAAAAAAACAAAACAAAAAACCAAAUCUGUACUGUUUUAUCACUGAUCAGAAUACACAGACUUCAUAUAUGUCAUUUGCUGGACUCACCUGCAGCAGUUCUAGGUGUGUAUCUGCCAGCCCUGGUUUCUUCUCUCAGCGCUGAGGAUGCUCAAGUCUCAGUGCUGUGGCACAGCAGCAGGGAGCUGAAGCCACAAUGCCUUGGUUUGUGAGACAAAGCUACAGAGAAAAUGUUCAGUGACACUAUCAGAAGGCCCCUCUGUUGUGACCUGAGAUAGAAUUCAGCUAUCACUGUGUGAUCAAAUUGCAUUUGUCAGAUUCUCAGGUAACAAUUUGCACAGGGCUGAUUUUCCUGUACUUGUGUGUCGCUGUGGGAAAGGAAAAUUGGGAACCAACUUUGAAACUUACAGUCUCCACUCCUGUCACAACUGUGAGUCAAGAAAAUUCUACACUGGUUUGAAACUUGAUGUGUUUGGCUGAAUAAAGAAGGACCAGUUGAACAAUCUGGAAGCCAGAUGUGAGCAUUCAUUCCCUGAUCUUAGAGUCUGACUGUCUUAGGGGCAGCCUUAGGGUUUGAGAGCAGAGGGAGGUACGGACUGGCAUCCCUGAGCUGGCAGGGUUUCUGUCUCUGCUGGGAUGAGUCACCCAGGGUACUGAGCUGAACUGUCUGCUUCUGUUCUCCACCUUUUAUCACACUGCUGUCCAAGGCUGUUUUGUUAGAACAGAAAAGGAGUUAAAACUGACAACACCACUCUCUAAAUUACAUUGUAAGACAGAAUAAAGUUUUUGAAAACAAGUCUAUCCUUUACUCACUGGGUUCUUACAAGGCAGACAGUCUUUCCUCUACAGUUUCCUUGAGCUCCUCUCUUCUGUCCAGGCUCUUGCCUUGUCUUCUGAACAUUGCCUUAUCUUCUGACCGAACUUCCUCCUUAGUCUUAGUUGGAUACAAAACCUGGCUCCUCUGUGUGGGACCUAUGGGACCCGUCCCCUGACUCUGUUCUGGCCCACUUAGACAACACCCUGUCUCUAUGCUUUUCCUAGAAGCUCCUGAGUGUUAAGCCAUGGCUGGACCAGCUGGAGCACAGAGCCAAGCACUUUGCAAACUCAUCAGGAAAACUGAGCUGUUCUCUCAGGGAACGCUGCCCACGUGGGUGAGAGGUGUUCAGAGGAGGUGGAGAGCUUUGAGAUAAAUUGCUCAUCCAGGAAAAAAGGCAGUAGGCUGGAAAGCUGAUUCCCUCACAUCAGCCUCUACCCUCUCUGGCAAGGCUCCAAGGAACAUCUGAGCCUUUUCUGACAUGAGCUGGGAGGAAGGUUCUGAAGCAAAUCUGAGAAAGGCUACAUGAUGGCAAGCUUACUCAAUCCUGAAAACUCCAUCCAUGCCAUCCUUUCAGGAGGACCCAUAUUGACCACCAGCCACACUGGGACCGGAACAGAGCUCCACAAGGGGUGCCUUUGAAAACCCCACACUUCUACCCCACAGCUGCCUGGGGCAGCAGACAGGGUAUGCUUCUGGAUGCACAUAUCAUGGAUGUGGGAAAGGCUUCUCUCAUCCACGAUGGCUUGUACCCCUUCUUAACUCUCCUCCCAUGCUGUCAUGAGCCCCAGCAGGAACAGUUCAGCAACACAGUCACGGCUUCCUGAAGUUCUGUAUCUGGGUGCCUUGUUUCAGGCUGUGUAAAAGUGAAAUGGGACAGAGAGGUAAAAACAGCUCCCUAAGGAGAAAUCAUGAGUUAAAGGCAAUGAACAACAGCUCCUGCAGGGCACACAUGAAGCCCCUCCUUCACCUUCACUUUGUCCAGGAGACACUACCAGGGAUUUCUCUCCUUUCACACUAACACACGGUCUGGAAACAGCACAGCAGGUGCAGCAGGCUUGGUGCUUUGAGGAUUCCAAAACCAACAACUUUCAAAAGACCAGGAGAACUGCUGAUCACCCAUCUGAAACCUGCAGAAGGAUCAGUGUUCCCUUAGUCCUAUGAGUCCCAUGCUGCUGCUCAGAGAUGGAUGGGGUGUAGAGUUACUCUGGUAUGAGCAAUGUCUCUCUCUAUGGAGACCCAGAGAUAAAUGUAGCCUCUGUCAUGCCUAAAGCAAGCUAAAACUAUUCCAGUGAAGGAUCUUGCAUUUCUUUAUGGCUAGAUCCUGGUUUAGUUGUUUAUAUGCUAAUUUUAAUGGACCAGAUAAUGUGAAAAAUACAGGAUCAUUACUCCAGCCUAGCAGGAAUGGGAGCUGCCAGUGGAGCACAGCUGCUCUUCCAAAGAACUGCCAUGGCUUCCCUGACAAGUUAUUACAUUGACAAGUUUCAAGUUUUUUAUGAUCUGAUUUAGAUCAAACCACAAGAUUUCAGAACAAUUCAGGAACUGUCUAGUAGUUAUUUCCAUUGCACUGCAUGAAGCACUGAGAAAGAAUGCAUUCAUUCUGGGGGUGGGGUUGAUAGGACUAAGGUGCUACAGCCAUGAAAAACCUCUGCCUGUUGUGGAGCUGUUCCAAUGACAAAUUUGUCAUAUAGUUCUGCAUGGCUAAAGAAACUUUUAGAAAAUAAAAUUUCAUUUGGAACAUAUAUCUUUUCUUCAAGAGCAGCUCCAUUAAAUGCAGCCACUCACCCACUAGCAAACAAUGCAGUAGAUACUUUUGUGAAUUGCUCACCUUCCUGGAAGCUGAUCAGCACUCCUGGCCACUGGAUGCCAGAAGUGAGUUCAUCUGGAACUCACAUUAGUUUUAACUGAUGAACUAUUGUCAAGUUUCCUUUCAAUAGGUUACAAGUUGCUGAAACUCUCUUGCAGGUUUGCUGGUGAGGAAAACUCAGAAAAGGGAACACAUCUGCAUCUGGGCAGCUUCUCCAACAAGUCAGGCUCUAGCCAAUGUUCUUUAGCAGUGCACAUGGACAUGUCCUGCUCAGCAUGCACAACAUGGCAAAACAUACCCCCUUCCCAGCUAUGGGGAGAGAUGGGUAGGGACAACACCAGCUCGGACAGCCACAGGACAGCAUUCCCAUUUACCACUGCCCUCAACUUGCAGAGAAAUCUCUCUGCUGUUAAAACACACGCACUCAUCUGCCCUUUGCAAAUUACAGCACCAACACCUUUCAGUGCUGUCAAAGCAUGUCCUCAAGGGCUGCUGCCAACUAUGUGCCAGAGCCUGGGAUGUUUGGGGAAGAUGUCUCACACAAACCAAAUUUCAGCACCUGAUGCUCAUGUCAGCCUAAAGCUUAACUACAGGAAAAUCUUGGAUAGUCUCACUGUCCUUCAAAACCAUUGCUCAAAACCAAACAUCAACUUGGGUGGCACUUACAAAACAAGCUGUAGGUACAAGUAACACACAGAGCCAACUUUUUUUUUUUAUAAAAGUAUUUUUAAUAAACUGAUGGAUUUAAGUUUAAGAUGCUAGACAACUUGUUGCCAUGUACAGGUAACAAAAGUCAAAAUUCUUUGAAUUUUAUACAAAUACUAUGUAGUAAACUUGAAUGCAAGUUUACAAAAAAUGCAUCAGUGGAUAUUCAGCUUGUAACCAACUUCCAACAGUGAAAAUUAUCAUCUAUCAAUAGUGAUCAGAAUUGCAUUGCAAAUUUUAGAAGUAAUGCAACUAUGUUUUGUUUUUUUUUACCAAGCCACUCUGAAGUUACUGGUGCACGCUGACAGUACAUUGGAUUUUUUUGGCUUGCUGAACAGAAAAUGGCGUUUAAAUAAAAUGACUAAGUGAAACAAUGUAAUACAUAUCAAAAGUACUAUCCCACAGAAAAUUAAGAAAGAACGAGAAAGCAAACAGAGCAGAACCCUGAAGUGGUGAUAUUUUUCUACCCGUUUUGAUGGAAAUGAUUCCACAGGUGUCCAGCUUUCUCACAGCAUUUUGAAGUGUUCUAGUCCUAGCACAGUGUGGUCAUUAGUAGACUAAAGUAAUCCCUGCUUGGCAGUAAUGCUGGUGAAAGGUAACUUGCUCUAUUGCUAACAAAUCAGAGUAACCACUGGCAGGGUGACUUCUUGCAGGCAUCCAGCAGAGGCUGAGUUGACAGCACAUGAUUGAAGUUACAGCACUGCUCGCUUUGAUACAAUACCCAACAGCCUUCAGGGUUCAGGUGUCAGUUUCCUCACAGGAUUUACAAAUGGAUGGUUUCAAAACAAACAAAAAAAAGUCCUUAUGGAGCAUAAGACAGUAUUUUCACCUGUACAGCUACCAAUAAAGUGAAUGUUUUUGUUACAAACUUUCCAGUCUGCUUUAUAAAAAAUAGUCUUAGUUUUACUUCUAAAUAAAAACUGUGCUGUGAUCUGUCACGUUCUUGCAUUGUACAUGCUGUAAUUGUGUGUGUUAAUGAAGGUGUAGAGAUUUGUGACCUAGCGCUCUGGAUGUAUCAGAAGCCUAAAAAGCUGAUUUUGGUACAUAAAAGGUAGCAAUGAAAAUUCAGUCCAUUUAUUUUUCCUAAAGCAUAGGAAAAGCUACAGUACUUUGCUAGAUCAGUGGCCUCAACCCUGAGCUGAAAUAAAGGACCUGCCCUGGCCAAGAGACUUAGUCACAUUACUACCACAGCUGCAUAGCAGAGACAAAAUAACCUGUCUGCAGCCUGUUAUGUGAGCUGUGAGUAGUGCGAAAUUCAGUUCUGUAAUGCUUGAGAGUUGACUGGAGACCACCAUAUUCAUUUUCACUACAGGGAAAAGAAGGAAAGGAGAACUCAAAUUCAGAGUGGAAAGCACUCAACAGGGAGGGUCAGUAUACCCAGCUUCUGGAUAUCAAACAGAGAAUGAAGUUAGUGUCAGACUCACCAGGUCUUAAGCGUUUCCCACUUGGCAGAAGAGAUUAUUAAAACACGUACCAAAAUACAGUUAGGGAGACUUUUACUACUAUCUCUUUCCAGAAAGAGAUUUACUACUAUUUCUUUCCAGAAAGAGUCUCACUUGAUUUCCCCCUCACUACAACUGAAUGUAUCUCUCUCUGUACUACACUGCAUCACAAAAGAUAAGUGAAAACCUAAAGUCUGUCUGAUGAAGAAUUCAAACCAGGUGGCAGCAGAAAAACUUCCACUUGUUUCUAACACAAGUUGGAGCUGGCAACAGUAAGAAUUCUUAUGAUGAUACAACUACUGCACCUUCCCAUAGGGUUCAAUGGCACCACUACCCAUGGCCAGGAGCAUUCAUAAUAUGAAGCUUUUUGCCUCCCAAGAGGACUUUUUUUUUUGCUUUUAAACAGCAGAAACUGCAGAGUCAGUAUUUCAUUCAACAGAAAAACUAAACCCAGCAAAAGACUGUAAAUAAAGCUCAUAAGAAUAAUUCAUAUUUCUAGUAAUGCACACUUCUUAGUGAGCUGACCAGUUUAGGGAUGGUAUAUUUUUUGUUAGUUUAAGGCAGCAAGUCUUACAAAAUACUCAAGCUCACCUCCCUCAUGUUUGUGCUACUGUAGCCUUAUGUGCACAAUAGAACCUCACUAAUUUACACUAAUGAUUGGAAGAACAAUUAAUUCUCUUGCUAAAUGAACAAGAAUAAGGCAUUCAAUUAUAUAUUCUGAUCACUAAUUAUAAUUUAGCUCUAAUUAUAAUCUACCAGCAAACAUACUUCUGUGUUUUAGAAAAUAGUAUCUCUUACUUUCAGAUAUAAUUAUGUGUGCAGAUUAGUGGGUUCUGCUGUGUAAACACGCAGGUGCAUAAGCAAUUUUCAGGUUUUUCUUCAUUACAUCUGGUAAGAAAGUUAAUGCCACAGAUAGAGACUAUGGGAAAAUAAAUUAGGAUUUCUCUAUCAUUUGUGCGGACAUGCACAACUGGGCAGUAAUUUAUAGCUCAAAAAAAGAAGGACACAAAUGUUUACAAACUCAUAUGAAGCAAAAUCAGCAGCAGGAAGCAAAGGCCAUUCCCCAACCAUAAAUGGCUUGUUUUACAUGAUUCCAAACUAUAUGAAACAAACAAACAAAAAAGAAAUACAAGUACUAACUUGUAUAUACAAGUUGGACAUCAAGUAAAGCAAAGAAGUGAAGCAUUUGUUGAUGCUUCUAGCAAAUGAUAUUCACAUGUUUAAAUCCUGAAGUAAACUGCAAGUAAAGACACAAGACAGGAUGAAAACUACAUGGCUGAAUUGAAAAAAAAAAA